RNAcentral lists this ribosomal RNA (483 nucleotides) under uncultured bacterium. Its description in RNAcentral is "partial 16S ribosomal RNA". It matches the Rfam family "Bacterial small subunit ribosomal RNA", at positions 28 to 507 of the family's 1533-position model. The record is from RNAcentral.
GACGAACGCUGGCGGCGUGCUUAACACAUGCAAGUCGAACGCUGAAGCUCAGCUUUUGUUGGGUGGAUGAGUGGCGAACGGGUGAGUAACACGUGAGUAACCUGCCCCCUUCUUUGGGAUAACGCCCGGAAACGGGUGCUAAUACUGGAUAUUCACUGGUCUUCGCAUGGGGGUUGGUGGAAAGGGUUUUUCUGGUGGGGGAUGGGCUCGCGGCCUAUCAGCUUGUUGGUGGGGUGAUGGCCUACCAAGGCUUUGACGGGUAGCCGGCCUGAGAGGGUGACCGGUCACAUUGGGACUGAGAUACGGCCCAGACUCCUACGGGAGGCAGCAGUGGGGAAUAUUGCGCAAUGGGGGCAAGCCUGAUGCAGCGACGCCGCGUGAGGGAUGGAGGCCUUCGGGUUGUGAACCUCUUUCGCUCAUGGUCAAGCCGCAACAAUGGUUGUGGUGAGGGUAGUGGGUAAAGAAGCGCCGGCUAACUACGUG